AUGGCCCAGUAUGCGUCGUUGCAUCUGGUGGAUACACUCUCGCCUGGCCUGCCUUCUCCUCUGAAUUUGGGGACGGGAGGUCACCACCGCAUCGCCAUGGCUCCCGCCGCCGCCCGACUCCUCCCAGCCGCCAUGCCUAUUACCCCUCACCGUCCCCUGAGUUGGUGCUGGUCAGCCGCCGCACGCCGCCCUUCCCCUAGCAUGCGGCUUCUCCGCUCAAACUCGCGGCUCCUGGUCGUCGCCUCCGCGCAGUCCAACCUCUCCAAAGCUGUUCAAACAACAUGGAGGGUCGGUAAGGAAGCCGUGGAUGCUGGAAGUGCUCUUGUCCCAGGUUCAGUUCCACGCCCAAUUGCUAGGAUAGGCGUGACAUUUGUUGCCGUGUCUGUCGCCCUUUUUCUGCUCAAGUCCGUCAUUUCCACCGCAUUGUUUGUACUGGCGAUGAUGGGGCUUAUAUACUUCGCCUUCCUGGCGAUGAACCCAAAAGAGGGCUCCAGGAGUGUGGAUGAAGGAGACAGUCCUCCGUCGGACGACCCCGCCGAAGAAGCCCGGCGCAUAAUGGAGAAAUACAAGUGA
RNAcentral lists this ribosomal RNA (573 nucleotides) under Triticum aestivum (bread wheat). RNAcentral describes it as "partial small subunit ribosomal RNA". Lineage: Eukaryota; Viridiplantae; Streptophyta; Magnoliopsida; Poales; Poaceae. The record is from RNAcentral.